AUUAAUCCAUUGAAAAAGAGGAAAAUAAUUUUUGUUGUUUACAGAGAGAAAUGAGUAGCUGAGAAAUUUUAACACAAAGAUAUUUUUGACACUUUGGAGGAAUCAGGAGGAAAUGCCUGAUCGUAUCGUCGCGUUAAGACAAGAGCGCUUACUUGAAACGUAAGAAAUAAGGUGGUACCGCGCAAUAGCGUCCUUAUA
This 198-nucleotide non-coding RNA is filed under the name Bacillota bacterium. RNAcentral's name for it is "Firmicutes bacterium T-box sequence". It matches the Rfam family "T-box leader". Rfam says of the family: Uncharged tRNA acts as the effector for transcription antitermination of genes in the T-box leader family. T-boxes are found upstream of many aminoacyl-tRNA synthetase genes and some amino acid biosynthetic genes usually in Gram-positive bacteria. The anticodon of a specific tRNA base pairs to a specifier sequence within the T-box motif, and the NCCA acceptor tail of the tRNA base pairs to a conserved bulge in the T-box antiterminator hairpin. Lineage: Bacteria; Bacillati; Bacillota. The record is from RNAcentral.